This 791-nucleotide ribosomal RNA is filed under the name uncultured eubacterium WD299. Its description in RNAcentral is "bacterial SSU rRNA". It matches the Rfam family "Bacterial small subunit ribosomal RNA", at positions 9 to 794 of the family's 1533-position model. The record is from RNAcentral.
GAGUUUGAUCCUGGCUCAGAUUGAACGCUGGCGGCAUGCCUUACACAUGCAAGUCGAACGGCAGCACGGGGGCAACCCUGGUGGCGAGUGGCGAACGGGUGAGUAAUACAUCGGAACGUGUCCUGUAGUGGGGGAUAGCCCGGCGAAAGCCGGAUUAAUACCGCAUACGAUCUGUGGAUGAAAGCGGGGGAUCCUUCGGGACCUCGCGCUACAGGGGCGGCCGAUGGCAGAUUAGCUAGUUGGUGGGGUAAAGGCCUACCAAGGCGACGAUCUGUAGCUGGUCUGAGAGGACGACCAGCCACACUGGGACUGAGACACGGCCCAGACUCCUACGGGAGGCAGCAGUGGGGAAUUUUGGACAAUGGGCGCAAGCCUGAUCCAGCCAUGCCGCGUGCAGGAUGAAGGCCUUCGGGUUGUAAACUGCUUUUGUACGGAACGAAAAGGUUCUCUCUAAUACAGGGGGCUCAUGACGGUACCGUAAGAAUAAGCACCGGCUAACUACGUGCCAGCAGCCGCGGUAAUACGUAGGGUGCAAGCGUUAAUCGGAAUUACUGGGCGUAAAGCGUGCGCAGGCGGUGAUGUAAGACAGAUGUGAAAUCCCCGGGCUCAACCUGGGAACUGCAUUUGUGACUGCAUCGCUGGAGUGCGGCAGAGGGGGAUGGAAUUCCGCGUGUAGCAGUGAAAUGCGUAGAUAUGCGGAGGAACACCGAUGGCGAAGGCAAUCCCCUGGGCCUGCACUGACGCUCAUGCACGAAAGCGUGGGGAGCAAACAGGAUUAGAUCCCUGGUAGU